CCGGCGCACGGGUGAGUAACACGUAUCCAACCUGCCGUCUACUCUUGGCCAGCCUUCUGAAAGGAAGAUUAAUCCAGGAUGGCAUCAUGAGUUCAUAUGUCCGCAUGAUUAAAGGUAUUUUCCGGUAGACGAUGGGGAUGCGUUCCAUUAGAUAGUAGGCGGGGUAACGGCCCACCUAGUCAACGAUGGAUAGGGGUUCUGAGAGGAAGGUCCCCCACAUUGGAACCGAGACACGGUCCAA
This 241-nucleotide ribosomal RNA is filed under the name uncultured bacterium. Its description in RNAcentral is "partial 16S ribosomal RNA". It matches the Rfam family "Bacterial small subunit ribosomal RNA", at positions 95 to 334 of the family's 1533-position model. The record is from RNAcentral.